Molecule: long non-coding RNA, 566 nt
Organism: Cyprinus carpio carpio
Lineage: Eukaryota; Metazoa; Chordata; Actinopteri; Cypriniformes; Cyprinidae
Source: Ensembl
CAAACCUGUACGCUUUCCUUUCAUUCGUGGCACACAACAGGAGGUUUAGUGUUCUCCUUUUGUUUGUGUAGGCGCCCCAUAAACCUAAUGCCUGUUUCUCACUUAUGGGCUCUCUUCCAAAACCUGGUGCGCUGCCCACAUACUCCUGAUCCUGCUAAAGUUUGUGUGUAUGAUGCUGCAGUCUUGUCUCUGUAGAGCAAAGAGCAGCAUGAACAUUGUUGAACAGUGUUUCACUGAAGAACAUCAAGAAGCUGUUUGGACUCUCAUUCUGACGGCACCCAUUCACUGCAGAGCAUCCAUUCUGGGCAAGUGAUGCAAUGCUACAUUUCUCCAAAUCUGAUGAAGAAACAAAUUCAUCUACAUCUUAGAUGGCCUGAGUACACUUUCAGCCAUUUCUAGUUUUUUGGUGAACUAUCCCUUUAACUUUUAAGUAAUACAAUUACUUUUACAAAAGACACAGCCUUGUAUAUAACUGGCUAAAACUUAGAUGUCUGUCUUCCAUUUACAUCCACAACAUAUACAUGUAUAUUUAAACAAGUUCACACGUGGUCUGUUGAAGUGAGUAC